AUGAUUCUUCAAGCAAAACUCUCUGCUACUAUAAAGGGGUAAAGAAAUGUUGUAAGUAGCUCAUUAUGGAUGGAGAGAUGCCCUGGCCUACAAAAUGACUUUAAAUAUCAGCUAGAACAACACUUCAUCACCUGAAUUGUUCUGAACACUGGUCAGCUGACCAACAAAUUGGUUAGAUUAACCAAGUCAACCUAAGCAGAUAAGUACCAAACUUCUUGAAAUGGAAGAUGUCUUUAAGAAGCUACAUAAAAUACCUCAGCAAUCCUCACAGAGCAGAGAAUUCUGCCAGAAACUCAAAAAACACUGGUGAAUUGCAUGGAAUUGCUGAUGCUAGACAUGAAACAAGAUUCCGAGACUGCCCUGGGCUUGUUUACAGCACAGAGAAAAUGGAAGAAGAGAGGAGAAGAGUUGCCUGGAGAUUCCAAAUAGGAUACAAGGCAAUGAGGAAGUUGAUCUGGAGGCUGAGAAGUCCAAGAUCAAGGGACCAGCAGUCCUGUGUUUGGUGAGGAAUCACUUCCUUGUUUACAGAUGGCAGAAAAGGGACUUCCUAGCUCUUCACCUGGUCUUAGAAGAACUAAUCCCAUUUGUGAAGACUCCACCUUCAUUAUUUGAUUACAGCUCAAAGACCUCACCUCCUAAUAUAGAUUGACGGUUAAGAUUUCAACAUAUGCAUUUGUGGAAAACACAAACAUUCAGUCUGUAACACAUUCUAUUUCACAUUUCACAUCUCCCUCUCCCUUUAUUAUCUGGGAAGAUAAACUAUUACAGCAAAGAGCUCAUGAAUUGAAUCAGGUUGAGAAUGAGACUUGUGGUGGCUUAUUUUUACAGAAAAUUUUAGUUCAAUUCCUCUUUUGAAGACCUUUUCAAAAUAUUAGUCAUAUUCCUCUUUUGGAAGUACACACUCUGACUAUAAUUGAAUCUUUCUUGAUGAUUGAAGACCUUGCCAUGCCUUAGGCUUAUUAUUCAGAACAUGAAUUCAAAUUCAUUCAAUUGCAUAGAUAAAUAUGCAGAAGGUAC
This is a long non-coding RNA of Talpa occidentalis (Iberian mole), 1017 nucleotides long. RefSeq lists it as uncharacterized. The record is from RefSeq and is a predicted model, not a curated record. NCBI's taxonomy places the organism in Eukaryota, Metazoa, Chordata, Mammalia, Eulipotyphla, Talpidae. The transcript has 3 exons.